Molecule: ribosomal RNA, 465 nt
Filed under: uncultured bacterium
Lineage: Bacteria
Description: partial 16S ribosomal RNA
Rfam family: Bacterial small subunit ribosomal RNA
Source: RNAcentral
GAUGAACGCUGGCGGCGUGCUUAACACAUGCAAGUCGAACGGAAAGGCUCCUGCCUGCAGGGGUACUCGAGUGGCGAACGGGUGAGUAACACGUGGGUGAUCUGCCCUGCACUUCGGGAUAAGCCUGGGAAACUGGGUCUAAUACCGGAUAGGACCACAUUUUGGAUGGUGUGGUGGAAAGUUUUUCGGUGUGGGAUGAGCUCGCGGCCUAUCAGCUUGUUGGUGGGGUAAUGGCCUACCAAGGCGUCGACGGGUAGCCGGCCUGAGAGGGUGUACGGCCACAUUGGGACUGAGAUACGGCCCAGACUCCUACGGGAGGCAGCAGUGGGGAAUAUUGCACAAUGGGCGCAAGCCUGAUGCAGCGACGCCGCGUGGGGGAUGACGGCCUUCGGGUUGUAAACUCCUUUCGCUAGGGACGAAGCGCAAGUGACGGUACCUGGAGAAGAAGCACCGGCUAACUACGUG